CCUGGCGCGCGCGCAGCCGCCCGAGCGGACCGUGGUUCCAGGCCCCAUAAAACGGAUUUACAGCCCCUGCUUAUCUCCGGCCACAGGUUGUGCCUCCUCCGGGGAGACCGGCCCCCGGGAGCAAGUGUCUCCUUGAGAGCGUGGCCACGGCCGAGGGAUCUAUCAGAGAGACAGCCCAAGCCCCGGCUUCGCUCCAGACCGUUCCCACGGCGCCUGUUUUCUGUGAUGCUCUGCGGUGGACCGAGCCACGGGGGACGCGCUGACACACGUUACAGCGUGUGUUUCAAAACAACCCUGAGAGGCAUUCAGAACAAAACAAUUUCUUCCAUCUUUAAGAUGACACAGCAGAGCCUUCAAAGGUGAAGCAACUUACCUGAAAGCGCAGAUAAACCUCCACUGCCGAGGCCACGCGUGUCUCCCCCGCCCCGGAGGCCGUGUCUGGGUUCCCAGCGCAAGCAGACUCCCCAGCUCCGGGGCAUUUAUUCCUAGGGUCGUCCCUCUGCCUGAGCAGACAGAUUUGGUGGACAUUAGAGAGGGACUGUUUCAAGUAAAAGUAUUGUUUUUGAUAACACCUCUGCAUAUGGAAAAGAGAGAAUGCCGCAGAUGAACUCAAGGAGAAUGAAAGUCGGGUGACCCCCAGCCCACAGCCGUGGCUGCGUACCUUCCCAAGUGUUUAUGUCAUAUGGCUCGUCGUGCAUGUUAAUUACACUCUGUGAGUUCGCUUUAGCGCCCUGAUUACGAAGGACAACGUCCCAGGAGCUCAUAUUCUGUGCAGCAGCUCCAAUGGGAGCAGGGCGCUGCCUUGUACGGCUCCAGCAAAAGCAUCUUCUAACCACUCCCCUGCAGUGGGACGCGUAGGUCAUUUCCAAUGGUCUGUGAUGGUUUCAAGUGAAGAGUUGGACAGCCUCGUACCUAAGGUGCACGUCCUUGUUUGCCAGAGCCCUCCACCUGCAGGCAGCCUGGCAGAGAGCCCAGAGGGCUUCAACUUCCAAGAAGUCAGAGCCCAUUGCUACCUCCUGUGUGGAGCGAAGCCAGGAUGCUGUGGCCUUGAACCCCUUUCGGCCAUCUGCUGGUGUGUGGCCAUGGUUAAGCCUCAGUUUCCUUACCUGUGAAGUGGAGUUGUUAAUAACACUGCCUCCCUCUGGCUGGGUGAGGACCAAACCCCAUAGUGGCACAUCUGGGGAUCUCUUUCCGGAUCUCCCUGGAGAAGACGUUAAUGGCCAGACCCAGCCGUCAAACAGCAGGCCUUGAGGCAGAGCUACAAAGUGCGGAGGACAGUAUCAAAUGAGAUUCAGGAUCAGAUAAGAAAGACCAAAGGGAGAGAAAGGAAGCAGUGAGGGCAGAGGGGCUGGUGUUUUGCCUCCAGGUCGUAGGACACGCUGGGAUGCCCCACGCGCUGGAACAAAAAAGGAAACAGAAGCUCUGACUAUAGAGGCACAGAGAAGCCUGGCUACAGGCUUGUUGGCGACAUGUCCCUCCAUCUCGGGGGCCAGGGAGCCCCUUGAUGCCUGUGAUCCUGUUUCCAACUGCAUCCCACUCAACUUUGGUGGCUGUUCUGCCUGCCCUGCCGCUGGCCUGGAGUGUCUCGAGGACGAGGGCCACAUUGGAGCCAUUUCUCUGUUGCCUGAGUCCCCAUGCCCUGCCUGGCUCAGAGUCAGUGGCUAGAAUGAAUGAAUGAGUGAGUGUUUCGGGUGGAAUUUAGAGACUUUGAUCAGGAGCACCAGUCAGUCACAAGGAUACGCAACAGGGGAUGCUGCCCCGGCUGAUCGUCAGAGAUCUGGGGGAUGGAGGAGACGUGCAAGGCAGGGCCACAUGAAGCAGUACCAGGGUUGGUCAGGAGGUGGAGGGAAUGGGGGUGGGGUGGGCAAGAGCCUUUACUGAGGGUCCCAUGGGGAGGAACACGGAGGCAGGGUACACAGGCUUGGGAGCGGCUGGUCUGAAUAACUUCAGUAUGCUCCAGGGCUCUGGAGCUGUCCCCCGCAGUCUGGUACCUGGCCCAGGGGUGGUGGGGCGUGGGGGCGAUGACCUUGAAAGUAAGUGCCAGAUGGAGGACGGGGGUGGGAGUGGGCUCUGGAUUAGAUGACUUGUAGGAACUGGCCAGUCCUGGCAGGGGCAGUCCCUCCAGGGUCAGCAAGACCCCAGAGGUCAAAGCAUGAGAACACAGCAAAUAAAAGACACGGUUAACACACUGUGAGAUCCAAUGCAAAACGGGGCUCAGGAAUCAGCAGAGUUUAAACCCCAGCUCCAUCUCUCACGAGCUGUGUGACUUUUAGCCAGUUACUUAGCCUCCUUUGGCUGCAGUGAGGACUGAGGCAGCUGCCUCCAGUGGUCUAUGAAGCGGGGCCAGCGGGGCAGCUGCCGCUGGCACCGACCGGUAAGGUCAUGAAAGCAUCACUCUCGUAAAUCAGAAGCCUGGGCACUUAGUGAAGGUCUCUGCACAGGAGUCCGUGCAGAGCUGGCAGACUGGGAACUAAGCCCUGGUCCUGCUAAAGUGGGUCCUGCCCGGAGUGGAAAUAAACUCAGGUCUCUCCCCAGAGAUGCCCCACUCCUCUGGGUAUUUCUGCCCCAGGCUCUCCCAUCUGUAUCAGCACUCCAGCCAAAAAAAGGGGGUGUGAGGUUGCCGACCCCAGCCAGCUGAGAUCCAGAAACAGAAUGAGGUAUUAUGUAGGACUGCUUGCCCCAAACGAGGGCUUUAUUUUAUUAUCUACAUUUUAAACUCUUUAAUAUGCCUCCCAAGAUGCUGUCUGGUUCGGAAAAUCGCCUAUAAUAAAUGCACAUAAUAAAUCUCUUAUUUUGAA
Molecule: long non-coding RNA, 2798 nt
Organism: Camelus dromedarius (Arabian camel)
Lineage: Eukaryota; Metazoa; Chordata; Mammalia; Artiodactyla; Camelidae
Exons: 2
Source: RefSeq, a predicted model, not a curated record